Non-coding RNA from Picea glauca (white spruce), 121 nucleotides. The record is from Rfam. Lineage: Eukaryota; Viridiplantae; Streptophyta; Pinopsida; Pinales; Pinaceae.
UUAUGUGCAUGCCUACAGUGUCAAUGCAUUGUAUCCCAUCAAAACUACACAUUUAAGUGUGCUUGGGCUAGAGUAGUACUGAGAUGGGUGACCUCCCAGGAAGUUUUAUGUUUUACAUGCC